GGAAGGAUCAUUAUUCUGCACACAAAAAAAUUGGGUGGUUCUCUAUCCUUUCAUUAGAAGGGAUGGUUAACUGCCUGAUGAACUUUAAUUGAAAACAAACAAAAAACAAAUGUGUAACUUUUUUAGCGGGAGGCUAACCGCGUGACCAAGAGGCCAACCCUUCUUGGGGAAUAGGAAGCUGCAGAAGUUUGGAGGUGGAGUACCAGUCCCCUUUAAUUUUUUGUUGAUUUUCUGUUUCCUGAGAUGUUCCUUGAAAGGGAGAGGUAUUUUCUGAAGCGACGACUGGGGAUUGCUGGUACCAGCUCCUUUAGUUUUUUUGGAAGAUCUUUUUCUUUUUAAGGGACAACCCUUUUAAAGGUGUAAACCUUUGUUUAUCGGAUCAGGCACUAGAAUUUUAUAAGUAAACAAACACAGGUUGUGUAAAAAUGACCUUUCAUAACUUAUGACGGUGGAUUUCUCGGCUUACGUAACGAUGAAGAACGUAGCAAACUACGAUAAUUAGUGUGAAUUGCAAAAUACGUGAAUCAUCAAAUCUUUGAAUGCAUACUGCGCCGGGGGUCUAAUAACCUCUGGUCUAUCCGGUCGAGUGUCGAUUCUUCAUCACCAUCCCCCUUUUAACUUUUGUUUCUCGCUUUUAAAAACGGCAAGAAAGAGAGGUUGAUUCGAGGGGAAAGGUGGAUAUGAGGGUAGAGUUCUCUUAAGAGGGCAUCUUCCUUUUAAAUUCGUAAAACGGCGGUGGCGGAAAAAGAAAAUACCUACUCGCCUUUGAGAGGGAGAGGGUGACUUCGGGAAGCCAUUGCAAUAUGAGCCUGGUAAAAUUGAAAGUGAGCUUUGUGCGCCGGAGCUUUGAAACUCGCUAUAAAUACUGGGUACGCUUCCUUUGGAUUUGUAGGUGGUCGCCACUUUUUUUUGGCGUCUAGUUUAAAAUUGAGGAUCUCUUUCCGAGAUGUGGGGAACCUCUCACCUUCGAAUUCACUUUUGCUUUAGAUGGAGUGGUCUUUAUUGAUCAAGCUUUCCUAGCAGAGGUGAUUUAAAAAUUCGUUGAUGGGAAUCUCUAUUAAUCAAGGACGAAGGGCGGUGCUCUCUAGGCGUUGGAAGAGGAGAAGAUCACUUAUAUGUAUGUCUGAAGGAAUCUCUGAUACUAUGAUAAAGUUUUUCACUUUAUCUUAACGGCCUCGGCUCGGGUAGGAUUACCCGCUGAACUUAAGCAUAUUAGUAAGCGGAGGAAAAGAAAUUAACUAAGAUUCCCUCAGUAACUGCGAGUGAACCGGGAGGGAGCCCAGCCCUGAAUCGGGAGGGAUUCGUCUCUUACCGACGUGUGGGGUUUGUCGGGAUUGGUCAGGCGAGUGGGUGGCUUUGAAGUCAUCUUGGAACAGUGAGCCUUAGAGGGUGAUAGCCCCGUAAAGGUUGCCCGUUCGUCGGACUGGUUUCGAUUAGAGUCGAGCUGUUUGGGAGUACAGCUCUAACGGGUGAUAAAUUUCAUCCAAGGCUAAAUAUUAACGUAAGACCGAUAGCGCACAAGUACCGCGAGGGAAAGAUGCAAAGAACUCUGAAAAGAGAGUUAAAAGUACAUGAAACCGUUAUAAGGUAAAGCGGUGGGCAGGGCACAUACUGUUACUGGGAUUCUGUCUUUGGUUGUCUUGAGGCGUUUGUCAAGGCGUCGGAAACGGCGUUUCUGGUAGGCGUUUUUGGGAUCUCUGGGGACGUACUUCCUGGUGAUGGGUUCAUCGGAUACUUGUUUGGGCUUUGAAAGAUUUGGUAGUCGUCUUCGGAUUGGCGAAGGAUCAUAGAUGUCUGAAUGGGUAUAGGACUGCGAAAGUGGUUUGAGCAGCGCUUAGCGUUUAUAGUUGCUGUUCUCGUCGGUGAAUUUCAGGUGUCAUGCCAACUGACCCGUCUUGAAACACGGACCAAGGAGUCUAUCAGGCAUGCGAGUUCGAGAGUGUUAAAACUUUAGGGCGUAAUGAAAGUGAUUAGGUGUGAUGUCUGUAAAAAGAUUGCAGCACUGACCGGUCAAGAGCAUUCGUGUUCAGGAUCGAGUUGGAGCAUGUCUAAUAGAACCCGAAAGGUGGCGAACUAUGCCUGCACAGGAUGAAGCCAGGAGAAAUCCUGGUGGAAGUCCGUAGCGGUAUUGACGUGCAAAUCAUUCGUCAGAUGCGGGUAUAGCGGCGAAAGACCAAUCGAGCCGCCUAGUAGCUGGUUCCCUC
Molecule: unclassified non-coding RNA, 2204 nt
Filed under: uncultured fungus
Lineage: Eukaryota; Fungi
Description: sequence contains 18S rRNA gene, ITS1, 5.8S rRNA gene, ITS2, 28S rRNA gene
Rfam family: Eukaryotic large subunit ribosomal RNA (bases 1171-2204)
Source: RNAcentral